This is a small nuclear RNA of Prolemur simus (greater bamboo lemur), 107 nucleotides long. NCBI's taxonomy places the organism in Eukaryota, Metazoa, Chordata, Mammalia, Primates, Lemuridae. The record is from Ensembl.
GUGCUCGCUUCGGCAGCACAUAUAUUAAAACUGGAACGAUACAGAGAAAAUUAGCAUGGCCCCUGUGCAAGGGUGACACACAAAUUUUUGAACUGUUCCAUGUUUUA